UCUCGUUCUUAUCCAUUCACGCGGUGUGUACUCACCUCCCAUCUUCCACCUCCUCCCCCCCCUCGCACCACACCUCACCGGAGAUGGCAGUCGUCUACCCCGUAGCAAAACCUCCCUCGCGCUCCGCUGCGGGGAGGCAGUUGCGCUCACCUGUGCGCACCUGUUGUCUGCCCACCACCUGCCGAUUUCUUCCCAUUCCUCACCUCGCACCACACCUCGCUGAAGACUACCGCCACCCACACCUCUCCGGGCAACACAUCUUCGCUCCCCAACGCACUCGAUUCAAGCCUCCCUCCUCCCAUUGUUGCGACCGUGCCCGAUAGGUGCUUCAACCAACGCCGCCGGAGCGCCACGACAGUCACCGGGGUAUUGCGAUGGCGGGUCCCACGCCCUGCGGUGCUGCAACCAGGGCGGCCAAUCACUAGUAGAAAACAGGGCAAAGGUCACAGGGCAGUUUUCACAUUAGCCCCGGUUCAGUCACGAACCGGGACCCAUGGGGGCAUUCGUCCCGGUUCGUGAGCCCAGGGGGCCGGCCGGGGCCUCGUGGGCAUUGGUCCCGGUUCGUAUGGAACCAUUUGUCCCGGUUUGAGCCACGAACCGGGACUAAUGGUCCUCGCUCCUGGCCCACAACCAUUUGUCCCGGUUCUUGGCAUGAACCGGGACAGAAGGCCCGGAUUUAGUACCGGUUCAUGCCACGAACCGGGACCGAUGAGGUGCCUAUAUAUACCCCUCGCCCGCGAGCAGAGCACUCCAGUGCUCUGUUUUUCUCUGGCUGGCGAGGGGAGGGCUUUGUGGUGCUCUAGCUCACCUCCUAUGCACAUGAGGUGUUCGAUGAAAUGCCCGAGCCACACUAGUUAAGCUUUGUCCUCUCGAAGCUCGACCUCAAAGCUCCAUUUUCCUCGAGAUUUGUCUAGGUUUAGCGGCCCGUCACGUCCCAUUCCCGUCUUCACCGCCGUCGACCGCCCGCGCCGAUCUCGUCGCCGGCAACACCGUGUGCGAUGGUUUUGGUAUCCGCCCCCGUCGGCCCUCGUCCUGUCUAUGAUUCGGAUGUGGUAUAUAUUAUCUUUUUUAACUAUUUGAUUCAUUUAUUGUUUAUGACAAAUAUACCGGCCAACGUGACAUAGAUUUUAUUUAUCUAGGAGGUGGUUGAACCGGAAAUUCUAACCGACCCUAUUGUCGAGAGGUUAAAUUUAGUUGAAGAAGAAAACAAUUACUUGAAGGAAAAAAUAAAAAAAUUGAGGAGGAGAAGAUGAUAUUGGAGUUGCAUGUUGCGGAUGUCGUCGAUGAUCACAAGAUCAAGAUGGAUGCAAUGCGCUUGAAGAUUAGAAAGAUUAGAAAAUAUGCCAUUCAUACCGAGGCUUGGUAUCAUUAUGCCGUUGGAUCAAUUGUUACCUUGGUUGCGAUUAUGAUCGCAUUUGUUUUCGCAUUGAAAUGUUUUACAUAGUUUCAAUGUAUGGUUUAAUUAAUUAGAUGCUCUGGAGAGCUAUAUAUAUGUUGUUAGAUGAGAACUAUGUAUGUACUUUGGUUCUAAUGUGAUGAUGAACUUAUAUUAAUUUGGUCACUUAAUUAUCUAUUCAUGAUGUUCUGUAAUUGUUGUCGACACACUUAAUUAUAUAUAAUGCACGCAGAUGAACCGGCAAUGGAUGUACGGUGACAGACACACCUCCGAGUACAUUAAGGACGUGCAUGAUUUUCUCGAAGUGGCUGAGGCAAACAAGCAGAAUGGUUUUAUGUGUUGUCCAUGCCCUACAUGUGGGAAUACGAAGUCUUACUCUGACCGGAAAAUCCUUCAUGCCCA
RNAcentral lists this ribosomal RNA (1798 nucleotides) under Triticum aestivum (bread wheat). RNAcentral describes it as "partial small subunit ribosomal RNA". The record is from RNAcentral. Lineage: Eukaryota; Viridiplantae; Streptophyta; Magnoliopsida; Poales; Poaceae.